CCUACGGGUGGCAGCAGUGAGGAAUAUUGGUCAAUGGGCGCGAGCCUGAACCAGCCAAGUAGCGUGAAGGAUGACUGCCCUACGGGUGGUAAACUUCUUUUAUAAAGGAAUAAAGUGAGGCACGUGUGCCUUUUUCUAUGUACUUUAUGAAUAAAGAUCGGCUAACUCCUUUCCAUCAGCCGCGGUAUGAAGGAGGAUCCGAGCGUUAUCCGGAUUUAUUGUGUUUAAAGGGAGAGUAGAUGGGUUGUUAAGUCAGUUGUGAAAGUUUGCGGCUUAACCGUAAAAUUGCAAUUGAUACUAGCAGCAUUGAGGACAGUUGAGGUAGGCGGAAUACGUGGAGUAGCGGUGA
This 349-nucleotide ribosomal RNA is filed under the name uncultured bacterium. RNAcentral describes it as "partial 16S ribosomal RNA". It matches the Rfam family "Bacterial small subunit ribosomal RNA", at positions 338 to 684 of the family's 1533-position model. The record is from RNAcentral.